Molecule: ribosomal RNA, 253 nt
Filed under: uncultured bacterium
Lineage: Bacteria
Description: partial 16S ribosomal RNA
Rfam family: Bacterial small subunit ribosomal RNA
Source: RNAcentral
UACGGGGGGGGCAAGCGUUGUUCGGAAUUACUGGGCGUAAAGGGUGCGUAGGCGGCUUUCUAAGUUGGAUGUGAAAACUCUGGGCUCAACCCAGAGCCUGCAUCCAAAACUGGAGAGCUUGGGUUCUGGAGGGGAAAGCGGAAUUCCUGGUGUAGCGGUGAAAUGCGUAGAUAUCAGGAGGAACACCGGUGGCGAAGGCGGCUUUCUGGACAGAUACCGACGCUGAGGCACGAAAGCUAGGGGAGCAAACAGG